GGGGCUUUAGCAUAAUGGUAGAGCACGCGCUUUGCAUGCGUAAGGUCAUCGGAUCAAUCCCGGUAAGCUCCA
This 72-nucleotide transfer RNA is filed under the name Pleodorina starrii. It matches the Rfam family "tRNA". Rfam says of the family: Transfer RNA (tRNA) molecules are approximately 80 nucleotides in length. Their secondary structure includes four short double-helical elements and three loops (D, anti-codon, and T loops). Further hydrogen bonds mediate the characteristic L-shaped molecular structure. tRNAs have two regions of fundamental functional importance: the anti-codon, which is responsible for specific mRNA codon recognition, and the 3' end, to which the tRNAs corresponding amino acid is attached (by aminoacyl-tRNA synthetases). tRNAs cope with the degeneracy of the genetic code in two manners: having more than one tRNA (with a specific anti-codon) for a particular amino acid; and 'wobble' base-pairing, i.e. permitting non-standard base-pairing at the 3rd anti-codon position. Lineage: Eukaryota; Viridiplantae; Chlorophyta; Chlorophyceae; Chlamydomonadales; Volvocaceae. The record is from Rfam by way of RNAcentral.